Molecule: non-coding RNA, 21 nt
Filed under: Caenorhabditis elegans
Lineage: Eukaryota; Metazoa; Nematoda; Chromadorea; Rhabditida; Rhabditidae
Source: RNAcentral
UUCACGAAUGAGAAAAUUUGA